ACACCUACGGGUGGCAGCAGUCGAGAAUCUUCGGCAAUGGGCGCAAGCCUGACCGAGCGACGCCGCGUGCGGGAUGAAGGCCUUCGGGUUGUAAACCGCUGUCGUAGGGGAGGAAGCGACCGUGAGGAACGGAAGUUGACCGAUCCUAGGAGGAAGCGCCGGCUAAUCUCGUGCCAGCAGCCGCGGUAAUACGAGAGGCGCAAACGUUAUUCGGAUUUACUGGGCUUAAAGAGUUCGUAGGCGGCGCAGAAAGUAGGGUGUGAAAGCCCUCGGCUCAACCGAGGAAUUGCGCUCUAAACUACUGUGCUCGAGGGACCUAGAGGUGAGCGGAACUGAUGGUGGAGCGGUGAAAUGCGUUGAUAUCAUCAGGAACACCGGAGGCGAAGGCGGCUCACUGGGGGUCUUCUGACGCUGAGGAACGAAAGCCAA
This 429-nucleotide ribosomal RNA is filed under the name uncultured Planctomycetota bacterium. Its description in RNAcentral is "bacterial SSU rRNA". It matches the Rfam family "Bacterial small subunit ribosomal RNA", at positions 335 to 763 of the family's 1533-position model. Lineage: Bacteria; Pseudomonadati; Planctomycetota. The record is from RNAcentral.